This 24-nucleotide non-coding RNA is filed under the name Rattus norvegicus (Norway rat). The record is from RNAcentral. Lineage: Eukaryota; Metazoa; Chordata; Mammalia; Rodentia; Muridae.
GAGGUACUUACCAGUGUGACUGGC